GAUGAAGAACGUAGCGAAAUGCGAUAAGUAGUGUGAAUUGCAGAAUUCAGUGAAUCAUCGAAUCUUUGAACGCACAUUGCGCCCGCCAGUAUUCUGGCGGGCAUGCCUGUUCGAGCGUCAUUUCAACCAUCAAGCCCCCGGCUUGUGUUGGGGACCUGCGGCUGCCGCAGGCCCUGAAAAGCAGUGGCGGGCUCGCUGUCACACCGAGCGUAGUAGAUUUCAUCUCGCUCAGGGCGUGCUGCGGGUUCCGGCCGUUAAACCACCUUCAUAACCCAAGGUUGACCUCGGAUCAGGUAGGAAGACCCGCUGAACUUAAGCAUAUCAAUAAGCGGAGGA
Molecule: unclassified non-coding RNA, 336 nt
Filed under: soil metagenome
Description: partial contains 5.8S ribosomal RNA, internal transcribed spacer 2, and large subunit ribosomal RNA
Rfam family: 5.8S ribosomal RNA (bases 1-120)
Source: RNAcentral